AUUGAACGCUGGCGGCAUGCUUUACACAUGCAAGUCGAACGGUAACAGGCCUUCGGGUGCUGACGAGUGGCGAACGGGUGAGUAAUGCAUCGGAACGUGCCCAGAGGUGGGGGAUAACGCAGCGAAAGCUGUGCUAAUACCGCAUGUGAUCUGAGGAUGAAAGCGGGGGACCAGGCAGCAAUGUUUGGCCUCGCGCCUUUGGAGCGGCCGAUGUCAGAUUAGGUAGUUGGCGGGGUAAAGGCCUACCAAGCCGACGAUCUGUAGCUGGUCUGAGAGGACGACCAGCCACACUGGGACUGAGACACGGCCCAGACUCCUACGGGAGGCAGCAGUGGGGAAUUUUGGACAAUGGGCGCAAGCCUGAUCCAGCAAUGCCGCGUGCGGGAAGAAGGCCUUCGGGUUGUAAACCGCUUUUGUACGGAACGAAAAGGCUCUGGCUAAUACCUGGGGCUGAUGACGGUACCGUAAGAAUAAGCACCGGCUAACUACGUG
This 492-nucleotide ribosomal RNA is filed under the name uncultured bacterium. RNAcentral describes it as "partial 16S ribosomal RNA". It matches the Rfam family "Bacterial small subunit ribosomal RNA", at positions 30 to 507 of the family's 1533-position model. The record is from RNAcentral.